GACGAACGCUGGCGGCGUGCUUAACACAUGCAAGUCGAGCGGUAAGGCCCUUUCGGGGGUACACGAGCGGCGAACGGGUGAGUAACACGUGGGUGACCUGCCCUCAGCUCUGGGAUAAGCCUGGGAAACCGGGUCUAAUACUGGAUAUGACUCCAUGACGCAUGUUGUGGGGUGGAAAGCCUUGUGCGGCUGAGGAUGGGCCCGCGGCCUAUCAGCUUGUUGGUGGGGUGANGGCCUACCAAGGCGACGACGGGUAGCCGGCCUGAGAGGGCGACCGGCCACACUGGGACUGAGACACGGCCCAGACUUCUACGGGAGGCAGCAGUGGGGAAUCUUGCGCAAUGGGCGAAAGCCUGACGCAGCGACGCCGCGUGAGGGAUGACGG
Molecule: ribosomal RNA, 385 nt
Filed under: uncultured bacterium
Lineage: Bacteria
Description: bacterial SSU rRNA
Rfam family: Bacterial small subunit ribosomal RNA
Source: RNAcentral